RNAcentral lists this ribosomal RNA (253 nucleotides) under uncultured bacterium. RNAcentral describes it as "partial 16S ribosomal RNA". It matches the Rfam family "Bacterial small subunit ribosomal RNA", at positions 524 to 776 of the family's 1533-position model. The record is from RNAcentral.
UACGAAGGGGGCGAGCGUUGUUCGGAAUUACUGGGCGUAAAGGGCUCGUAGGCGGCCAACUAAGUCAGACGUGAAAUCCCUCGGCUUAACCGGGGAACUGCGUCUGAUACUGGUUGGCUUGAAUCCGGGAGAGGGAUGUGGAAUUCCAGGUGUAGCGGUGAAAUGCGUAGAUAUCUGGAGGAACACCGGUGGCGAAGGCGGCAUCCUGGACCGGUAUUGACGCUGAGGAGCGAAAGCCAGGGGAGCAAACGGG